CCUACGGGUGGCAGCAGUGAGGAAUAUUGGUCAAUGGCCGGAAGGCUGAACCAGCCAAGUCGCGUGAGGGAAUAAGGCCCUAUGGGUCGUAAACCUCUUUUGUAUGGGAGUAAAGGCGUCCACGUGUGGACGAGUGGAGAGUACCUGAAGAAAAAGCAUCGGCUAAUUCCGUGCCAGCAGCGGCGGUAUUACGGAGGAUGCGAGGGUUACCCGGAUUUAUUGGGUUAAAGGGGUGCGUAGGCGGAGUGUCAAGUCAGCGGUAAAAUUUCGGGGCUAAACCCCGUCGUGCCGUUGAAACUGACAGUCUUGAGUAGACGAGAGGUAGGCGGAAUGCGUGGUGUAGCGGUGAAAUGCAUAGAUAUCACGCAGAACUCCGAUUGCGAAGGCAGCAUACCGGCGCCCGACUGACGCUGAGGCACGAAAGCGUGGGUAUCGAACAGGAUUAGAUACCCCUGUAGUC
This 460-nucleotide ribosomal RNA is filed under the name uncultured bacterium. RNAcentral's name for it is "partial 16S ribosomal RNA". It matches the Rfam family "Bacterial small subunit ribosomal RNA", at positions 338 to 795 of the family's 1533-position model. The record is from RNAcentral.